Molecule: ribosomal RNA, 546 nt
Filed under: Leptodactylus aff. viridis FMM-2020
Lineage: Eukaryota; Metazoa; Chordata; Amphibia; Anura; Leptodactylidae
Description: partial 16S ribosomal RNA
Rfam family: Bacterial large subunit ribosomal RNA
Source: RNAcentral
CCAGUGACUUUGUUCAACGGCCGCGGUAUCCUAACCGUGCGAAGGUAGCGUAAUCACUUGUUCUUUAAAUGAGGACUAGUAUGAAUGGCACCACGAAGGUUAUACUGUCUCCUUUCUUUAAUCAGUGAAACUAAUCUCCCCGUGAAGAAGCGGGAAUACAACUAUAAGACGAGAAGACCCUAUGGAGCUUUAAAUAUGGUAACAAAUGCCCACUUUAAUUUUUACCUAAGGAGAUUAACCUUAACACCUAGGCAUUUUGAUUACAAAUUUUAGGUUGGGGCGACCGCGGAGCAAAAAAUAACCUCCACGGUGGACGGAACCUGUUUCCUAAACCAAGGACUACAACCCUAAGAAUCAAUAAAUUGACACCCAUUGACCCAAUAUUUUGAUCAACGAACCAAGUUACCCUAGGGAUAACAGCGCAAUCCACUUCAAGAGCCCAUAUCGACAAGUGGGUUUACGACCUCGAUGUUGGAUCAGGGUAUCCCGGUGGUGCAGCCGCUACUAAAGGUUCGUUUGUUCAACGAUUAAAACCCUACGUGAUCU